RNAcentral lists this ribosomal RNA (253 nucleotides) under uncultured bacterium. Its description in RNAcentral is "partial 16S ribosomal RNA". It matches the Rfam family "Bacterial small subunit ribosomal RNA", at positions 524 to 776 of the family's 1533-position model. The record is from RNAcentral.
UACGUAGGUGGCAAGCGUUGUCCGGAUUUAUUGGGUUUAAAGGGUGCGUAGGCGGCCCUGUAAGUCAGUGCUGAAAUAUCCCGGCUUAACCGGGAGGGUGGCAUUGAUACUGCAGGGCUUGAGUGCAGAUGAAGUAGGCGGAAUUGACGGUGUAGCGGUGAAAUGCAUAGAUAUCGUCAAGAACACCGAUAGCGAAGGCAGCUUACUAAGCUGUAACUGACGCUGAGGCACGAAAGUGUGGGGAUCAAACAGG